UACAGAGGUCUCAAGCGUUGUUCGGAUUCAUUGGGCGUAAAGGGUGCGUAGGCGGCGCGGUAAGUCGGGUGUGAAAUCUCGGGGCUUAACUCCGAAACUGCAUUCGAUACUGCCGUGCUUGAGGACUGGAGAGGAGACUGGAAUUUACGGUGUAGCGGUGAAAUGCGUAGAUAUCGUAAGGAAGACCAGUGGCGAAGGCGGAUCUCUGGACAGUUCCUGACGCUGAGGCGCGAAGGCCAGGGGAGCAAACGGG
RNAcentral lists this ribosomal RNA (253 nucleotides) under uncultured bacterium. Its description in RNAcentral is "partial 16S ribosomal RNA". It matches the Rfam family "Bacterial small subunit ribosomal RNA", at positions 524 to 776 of the family's 1533-position model. The record is from RNAcentral.